Molecule: non-coding RNA, 282 nt
Organism: Camelina sativa (false flax)
Lineage: Eukaryota; Viridiplantae; Streptophyta; Magnoliopsida; Brassicales; Brassicaceae
Source: RefSeq, a predicted model, not a curated record
ACUUGAUGGAGCUAAACAAGCUUUACUGGAGAUGGUUAUAUUACCGGCAAAACAAAGAGAUUUGUUCACUGGUAUCCGGAGACCAGCGAGAGGUAUGUUUCUCUUUGGGCCACCAGGCAAUGGAUAAAAAAUGCUUGCCAACGUCUCAGCUUCUUCUUUGACUUCUCUUGCUCCUUGUAAAACAGAUGCAGAGCCCUGUACCUCUUGUGGUGCUGACAUAUUUGAGAAUAAUGAUUGGAGGCCUCACUUUACUGAGCCAAGGAGCCUUUUAGCCCUGUGAAC